Long non-coding RNA from Halichondria panicea, 363 nucleotides. RefSeq lists it as uncharacterized. The transcript has 2 exons. Lineage: Eukaryota; Metazoa; Porifera; Demospongiae; Suberitida; Halichondriidae. The record is from RefSeq and is a predicted model, not a curated record.
AAGAAGACUGCAUUUGUGUGUGUGCGCGCACAUGGCCAGGGAGGCUCUGGAUCACAUGAUCAAUUUUUCUGCAAUGCAGUUGCAGCUGCUCUUCUAUUUCUUUUGAGAUCAAGUCUAAGUCCUUAGAAAAUUCUUCAGAUCGUGCUGUUCUUUGCACUUUGAGCUCCAAAGGAGAGCAGAAGUCUCAAGUCAUCAGCACCAAAAGCUUCCCUGAGGAUGAAAGCAGCAGCAAUUGAAUACACAUUAUUCAGUGGAAGCUGAAAACAACGAUGUUGACGUCUUUUUAAUUUGCGAGACUGGCUUAUUUUGUUAACAUUAAUUUUGUUUGUGCGUUAUUCUUAUUGUCUAUUUUACAAACUUUCA